UUAGACUGCCCGGCACCCGGGCUCUGCGUCUCGGAUUCCCCGCGCCUCUGUACCCCGGCCGCUUCUCCCCGUGCUCCGGGUCUCCUCCCUCAGAGUUCCGCCCCAUCCCAGCCUGCCCGGAGCGCUCGGGCUACGCAGGCCAGGGAUGGAUGCAGCGCCGGCCCCACCAGCCCGGGAUGGCCACACUUACCGGCACCCGGCGCGGAGGGCCCGGGCUCCGGGCUCCGCCACCAGCGUAGCAGAGCCCGCGCGGGCUCCAGGCUGACGGCACAGCGUUGCCGCUUCACCCAUAGCACCGAGUGCAGAGGCUCCGCCGCCCCCAUGGCCCCCAUCGCCGCCGGCGCGGCCUCGUCCGCCGGGCGCGGGGCGCGCGGACGCCGGGGGGGUGCGCGGGACCGUUAGCGGCCCCUGCAGUCUGCCGGGCGGUGGCGCGGGGAGGCGGGAGCGGGAGGCGGCGCUGCGUCACCCGGUCUUGGUCUCCUGGCGGCUAGCAAGAGUCCUGCAGACCCAGGGAACCGGAGUGGCUGUUCCGGAUGCAGCUUAACAUGGGAAAGUUCAACAUGUCCACCUCAGGAAGGUCUUCCUGGACUCCGUCUCUCCCCAGCUAAAGCGUCCCAAGGCACAGCAGGGCAGAAUUCAACACUGCACGCAAAGCAUAUCUACGCAUCUCUGCGAAAAUUUCAUGGGCAUAUGGGCAUGUCCCUGCACAUAAUGUUGUCACUCAGAUAUUGGCUGCAUGAUGGCAUCUGUUCACAUCUGACCAAGGAAGAGUCUCCUCAGACACACUAGCUGGUCCAAGAGUACAGGGCUCUGGUGUGACAGAGCUAAGCCUCACAGCAGGGUCAGCUUUCAAGAAGACUUGGAGAGGCUCCUGCCCUCCCUCCUCAGUUUUCCUGAUGUUGCAGACUGAGGCGGAGCUGGCCAAGUCCUGUGCCUCUGGUACCUUGCCUGUGCCUGGUACCAGAGUGCUAAGGUACAGGUCUGAUCCUGUCGGUGCCCUGUGUCCAUCUGUAGGGCAGGGACAACCAUGAUUCACUAGCUUCUUGGAAGCCCAGCCCAGUGGUAGGCUCCCUGACAGCCCUGGAGUGUUGGUUAGACCCAGGCAGAAUCCUAGCCCCACCCUGGAGCAAGCUGGACCUGAUCUCGCUCAGUGGUUAGUUGAAGCAAGGGCUGCCCCAGCUCUUUCCUUCCGCGGCUGUCUGGAUGAGGCUUGGGGAAUGUGGACAUGAAAUGUUUUCAGAAACCUGAUGU
Long non-coding RNA from Mastomys coucha (southern multimammate mouse), 1251 nucleotides. RefSeq lists it as uncharacterized. The transcript is spliced from 3 exons. The record is from RefSeq and is a predicted model, not a curated record. Lineage: Eukaryota; Metazoa; Chordata; Mammalia; Rodentia; Muridae.